This 155-nucleotide non-coding RNA is filed under the name Spirochaetota bacterium. RNAcentral describes it as "Spirochaetes bacterium MoCo sequence". It matches the Rfam family "Molybdenum/Tungsten riboswitch aptamer (Moco RNA motif)". Lineage: Bacteria; Pseudomonadati; Spirochaetota. The record is from RNAcentral.
CCCCGCGACAAUCGCCGAGCACCCUUGCCUGUGAUCAGGGUCCGCAUUCCGCGGCCCUGAAAUGGCGGGCUGCCGUAGCGGCCGCGUUGCGGCCCAAGGGUGUGCCUGGAAACGGACACGCCUCCCGUACUUGGAAAGGCGAGAGAGGGUCCCAC